AUAUCGUCUGGGAUGUAAAGUUUUGGGGAUGGGGUGACAAGUCCAAGGUCGUUUUUCAUAGUUCCAACUAGUGUUUUGAAGGAAAUAUUAAGAUUUAUUCUUUCCUGGUAGAUUCACGGAUACCUUCACAUAUAGAAAAGAAAAAUAUUUGUAUACCUUCAUACGACACUUUUAUUAACGUGACGAUAGUGAGCCUGACUGAUGCCUUCCAGAUAAGCUUAUUGCAGACUGUUGCCGAAACAGGAUUGCCCCCGUUGGAGAUGUUUCAGCACAGAGGAGCUUAAACGUGGGAAUGUUGUAUUGGACAGCUUGCAAUGCUUGAAGAUCUUUUUGGUAUCUGAAACAUUAAUUUCUGUUCCUUGAACUGAAUGUCAUGUCAGAGUGUAAAGUUGAUUACAACAAAAUUCAAUGAUAAAUGAUUCUUUUUUUUGUCUCAACUUUUAUAAUUCCAUCAAUUGGAGGUAAACAAAAAACAUAUGCGGAUGUUA
Molecule: long non-coding RNA, 488 nt
Filed under: Populus trichocarpa (black cottonwood)
Lineage: Eukaryota; Viridiplantae; Streptophyta; Magnoliopsida; Malpighiales; Salicaceae
Description: long non-coding RNA (PTRI_LNC004647)
Source: RNAcentral